CCUACGGGGGGCAGCAGUGAGGAAUAUUGGUCAAUGGACGAGAGUCUGAACCAGCCAAGUAGCGUGAAGGAUGAUUGCCCUAUGGGUUGUAAACUUCUUUUAUAUGGGAAUAAAAUGUUCACCGUGGGGGAGUUUGUAUGUACCAUAGAAAUAAGGAUCGGCUAACUCCGUGCCAGCAGCCGCGGUAAUACGGAGGAUCCGAGCGUUAUCCGGAUUUAUUGGGUUUAAAGGGAGCGUAGGUGGAUGGUUAAGUCAGUUGUGAAAGUGUGCGGCUCAAGCGGAAAAUUGCAGUUGAAACUGGCAGUCUGGAGUACAGUAGAGGUGGGAGGAAUUCGUGGUGUAGCGGUGAAAUGCUUAGAUAUCACGAAGAACUCCGAUUGCGAAGGCAGCUCACUGGACUGCAACUGACACUGAGGCUCGAAAGUGUGGGUAUCAAACAGGAUUAGAUACCCUUGUAGUC
This 460-nucleotide ribosomal RNA is filed under the name uncultured bacterium. RNAcentral's name for it is "partial 16S ribosomal RNA". It matches the Rfam family "Bacterial small subunit ribosomal RNA", at positions 338 to 795 of the family's 1533-position model. The record is from RNAcentral.